Salvia hispanica is the source of this 2929-nucleotide RNA transcript. It is a transcript of the gene named molybdenum cofactor sulfurase (LOS5) (ABA3), with no coding region annotated. Lineage: Eukaryota; Viridiplantae; Streptophyta; Magnoliopsida; Lamiales; Lamiaceae. The record is from RefSeq and is a predicted model, not a curated record.
UCUUGUUUUCCUUGUUAUGUGACAGCGUUGCUUCAUCUGAUUAACUGGUUUGGUUUAGCUCAAUUUCCUUGAUACUACUUUUUGAGCUGAAAGAUGGAUGGCGAAUUCGACAAGGAGCGGUUCUUGAAGGAGUUCGGUGGAGAUUAUGGUUAUCCAAAUGCACUCCACAACAUUGAUCAAAUCAGAGCUAAUGAUUUUAAGCGAUUGAAUGAUGUAGUAUACUUGGAUCAUGCUGGAGCAACUUUAUAUUCCGAAUCGCAAAUGCAGGGCGUUUUUAAGGACUUGAGCUCUACUCUGUAUGGAAAUCCCCAUAGCCAGAGUAGUUGCAGUGUGACAACCAGCGACAUUGUUGGGGAGGUUCGUCAGCAGGUCCUUAGUUUCUUUAAUGCAUCUCCGAGAGAGUACAAAUGUAUAUUCACCUCUGGGGCGACAUCUUCGUUAAAACUUGUUGGUGAGACAUUUCCAUGGAGCCGUGGGAGUAAUUAUGUGUACACAAUGGAGAAUCACAACAGCGUUCUUGGGAUCAGAGAGUAUGCCCUUAGACAAGGUGCUGCAGCCAUUGCAGUUGACAUUGAAGAUAUUACUGAGUCUGAUGCAAUGAGUGGUAGGAAAUCUGGCAUUAAGAUUGUACCACACACUGUACAAAGGAGAGGCGAAACUGACUGCGGGAAAAUAGAUGAAACCAAUAUGGCAUCAUAUGAAGCAGUGGAGAAAUCGAGUUUUUACCAUAAUUUAAACAGGAGCUCAUAUUCACAGACAAUCCUCAAUCGAAAUCUUUGUCUAACUUUUUUACCAGUUUGUAAUAUUUACAAGGGUGAGACAUACAAUUUAUUUGCAUUUCCGUCGGAGUGCAACUUCUCGGGUCUUAGAUUCAACCUUGAUCUGGUUAAUUCUAUAAAGGAAGGUUCUUGUCAAAUACCAGGAACUUUUCCAACUCAGAGUGGGCACUGGAUGGUCCUGAUUGAUGCUGCAAAAGGAAGUUCAACAUGCCCUCCUGAUUUGUCAAAAUACAAGGCAGAUUUUGUAGUCGUCUCAUUUUAUAAGCUAUUUGGAUAUCCAACUGGAAUUGGAGCUCUUAUUGCUCGAAACGAGUCGGUUAAGUUAUUGAAGAAGACCUAUUUCAGCGGAGGCACAGUGGCUGCAUCUAUCGCAGAUAUAGACUUCUACCAAAGAAGAGACGGUGUUGAGGAAUACUUUGAGGAUGGCACCGUAUCUUUUCUCAGCAUUGCAUCCCUUCAUCAUGGAUUCAAAGUUCUUAACACAUUAACCAUGCCUGCUAUUUCCAGGCACACAAGCUCACUUGCCUCAUACGUUAGGAAUGCAUUGCUGAAGCUGAGGCAUGAGAACGGAAAUUGUGUUUGCAUAUUGUAUGGCAUUAAUGAUAAUGAGUCAUUGUUCGAUUCAAUGGGUCCUGUAAUUUCAUUUAACCUGAAAAGACCUGACGGAUCUUGGUUUGGCUAUCGAGAGGUGGAAAAGUUGGCAUCCUUGUCCAAUAUCCAGUUGAGGACAGGGUGCUUUUGUAAUCCUGGUGCAUGUGCAAAACAUCUUGGGUUGUCUCAUUCGGAUCUUGUUUCUAACAUUGAGGCAGGACAUGUUUGCUGGGAUGAUCAUGACAUAUUGAAUGGCAAACCAACUGGAGCAGUUAGGGUGUCAUUUGGUUACAUGUCAACAUUUGAAGAUGCCAUGAAGCUUUUGAAGUUCAUCAAGAGUUCAUUUGUGCCCCAAAUGACACAUAAUAUAACUGGGGAAAGACCUUAUUCUGCAACUGAAGGGGUUGAAAGGACUUCAAGAUACUUCCUCAAAUCAAUCACUGUUUAUCCCAUCAAAUCUUGUGCUGGCUUCAGUGUGGGGAGCUGGCCUUUAAGUAAUACUGGAUUGUUGCAUGAUAGGGAAUGGCUUCUCAAGAGCUUCAAUGGAGAAAUUUUGACCCAGAAGAAGGUUCCUGAAAUGGGUUUAAUCAGCACGUUGGUCGAUCUAAAAUUAGGACUGCUUAUUGUUGAAUCUCCCCAUUGCAAAGAAAAAAUGCAGAUAGAGCUUUCUUCAGCUCAAUGUAUAGGUAAACGAGAAGUGAUGGAAAUACAUUCUCAAAGAUAUGAAGUUGGAGGCUACUGGAAUGAAAUCGACAUUUGGUUUAGCAAUGCUGUCGGUCGCCCUUGCACCCUUGUCAGAAGCUAUGCUGUCCAAAAUCAGACGCUGCCAAACAGGGAGCAGUGUAUAGUAGGGAUGUGCAGAGAUUUCGAGACUAGAUUGAAUUUUGUCAACGAAGCUCAGUUUUUGCUAUUAUUGGAAGAAAGUGUAUCAGAUCUCAACAGCAGAAUAAGAUCAAAGUUGCGUAACGACUCACUUAACCAGCCAGCUGAAAUUAAUCCAAUGAGGUUCCGUCCAAAUAUUGUCGUCUCUGGUGGUAAACCCUAUGCCGAAGAUGGUUGGAAGAGUUUGAAGAUUGGAGAGAGUAACUUCAAGAUUGACACGUGCAGUCCUUGGGUGGUUGCAACCGUUGCCAUAUGAUCAAUAUGACCUCUACAGCCGGGACAGUGCAGAGGUCCAACGAACCGUUAGCCACUUUAGCAUCUUACAGACGACUAAAGGGGAAGAUAUAUUUUGGAAUAUUGUUAAGAUUAUGCGAUUUUAUCGACCAAGAUGCUUGGAUUUCCGUGGGACAAGAAGUGAUGCCAAACACAGAUUAAAUUUGCAAGUUAUAAGGAUGCACACUUUAUCCUCGGCAAUUUGGGGUUUACAUGCGAAUAACUGUAGAUAUAUCUGCAAACGGAGUUCACGAGAGCUUGACUCGAUGAACGAUGGUUAGUUCUAUUCAUUUUAAACAUUGCAUUAUAGUAGUACUCUAUCUGUAUUAUCCAUAGUCCAUCAUCAAACAUCAUGUUGUAGAUUAUGUCCACCAUAAUAAAUGAGAACGUCUCGGAAUUAGUCA